Molecule: ribosomal RNA, 336 nt
Filed under: Dryocoetes autographus
Lineage: Eukaryota; Metazoa; Arthropoda; Insecta; Coleoptera; Curculionidae
Description: partial 12S ribosomal RNA
Source: RNAcentral
AAUAUAAACCUAAAUUAUUAAUAGCUAAGUUCUUAAAAAUUAAUAAAGAUGGCGGUGUUUUAGUCUGUUCAGAGGAAUCUGUCCUGUAAUUGAUAUUCCACGAUUUAAAUUACUUGUUUUUUUAGUUUGUAUAUCGCUGUAGAUUGAAUAUUUCUAUUGAAUUAUAAUGUUCAUGAUUUUUAUAAAAAAAUAUAUCAAGUCAAGAUGUAGCUUAUAAAUAAGAAGAGGUGGAUUACAUUAAUAAUAUUAAUGGUUGAUAAUUUGAAAUGAUUGUUAUAAAAUGGAUUUGAAGGUAAUUUUUUAAAAAGAUUUUAAAGAUGAUUUUAGCUCUAGAAU